This 76-nucleotide transfer RNA is filed under the name Clostridia bacterium. RNAcentral describes it as "tRNA-Thr". It matches the Rfam family "tRNA". From Rfam's summary of the family: Transfer RNA (tRNA) molecules are approximately 80 nucleotides in length. Their secondary structure includes four short double-helical elements and three loops (D, anti-codon, and T loops). The record is from RNAcentral. Lineage: Bacteria; Bacillati; Bacillota; Clostridia.
GCUGCUAUGGCUCAGUUGGUAGAGCACAUCCUUGGUUAGGAUGAGGUCCCCAGUUCGAAUCUUGGUAGGAGCUCCA